CCUUCGCCUCCUGAGGCACAGGGAGAGGGCAGGAAGGGACAGGAGCGGAGCAGGACACAUCUCACAGUGCCCGCAGGCUCCACCCAGCUGCCUCUGUGCCCUGGCCUCUUUCCCUGUGGUGUGGCUCCGGGGCUGUGCCUGACCCCUGAGCAGCUCUGUGAUGGGAUCCCAGACUGUCCCCAGGGCGAGGACGAGCUGGACUGCGGGGGGCUGCCAGCCCUGGGAGGCCCCAACAGGACAGGGCUUCCCUGCCCAGAAUACACCUGCCCCAAUGGCACCUGCAUAGGCUUCCAGCUGGUGUGUGAUGGGCAGCCUGACUGUGGAAGGCCAGGGCAGGUGGGCCCCUCCCCAGAAGAGCAGGGUUGUGGGGCCUGGGGCCCCUGGAGCCCAUGGGGGCCCUGCAGCCGGAC
Molecule: long non-coding RNA, 410 nt
Filed under: Homo sapiens (human)
Lineage: Eukaryota; Metazoa; Chordata; Mammalia; Primates; Hominidae
Description: HSALNT0130549
Source: RNAcentral